AUUGAACGCUGGCGGCAGGCCUAACACAUGCAAGUCGAGCGGAUGAAGGGAGCUUGCUCCUGGAUUCAGCGGCGGACGGGUGAGUAAUGCCUAGGAAUCUGCCUGGUAGUGGGGGAUAACGUCUGGAAACGGGCGCUAAUACCGCAUACGUCCUGAGGGAGAAAGUGGGGGAUCUUCGGACCUCACGCUAUCAGAUGAGCCUAGGUCGGAUUAGCUAGUUGGUGGGGUAAAGGCCUACCAAGGCGACGAUCCGUAACUGGUCUGAGAGGAUGAUCAGUCACACUGGAACUGAGACACGGUCCAGACUCCUACGGGAGGCAGCAGUGGGGAAUAUUGGACAAAGGGCGAAAGCCUGAUCCAGCCAUGCCGCGUGUGUGAAGAAGGUCUUCGGAUUGUAAAGCACUUUAAGUUGGGAGGAAGGGCAGUAAGUUAAUACCUUGCUGUUUUGACGUUACCAACAGAAUAAGCACCGGCUAACUUCGUG
RNAcentral lists this ribosomal RNA (484 nucleotides) under uncultured bacterium. RNAcentral describes it as "partial 16S ribosomal RNA". It matches the Rfam family "Bacterial small subunit ribosomal RNA", at positions 30 to 507 of the family's 1533-position model. The record is from RNAcentral.